RNAcentral lists this ribosomal RNA (277 nucleotides) under uncultured bacterium. Its description in RNAcentral is "partial 16S ribosomal RNA". It matches the Rfam family "Bacterial small subunit ribosomal RNA", at positions 28 to 303 of the family's 1533-position model. The record is from RNAcentral.
GAUGAACGCUAGCGGCAGGCUUAAUACAUGCAAGUCGAACGGUAAGUGUUAUAGCAAUAUAGCACGAGAGUGACGUACGGGUGCGUAACACGUAUGCAACCUACCUUGUACAGGAGGAUAGCUCGGGGAAACGUACGAAUUAACCCUCCAUAAGAUCAUAGAAUGGCAUCAUUUAGUGAUAAAACUUAAGGUGGUACAAGAUGGGCAUGCGUCUGANAGUUAGUUGGUGGGUAAUGGCUCACCAAGACGAUGAUCAGUAGGGGACCUGAGAGGGUGA